RNAcentral lists this transfer RNA (57 nucleotides) under Oxyrrhis marina. RNAcentral describes it as "partial tRNA". The record is from RNAcentral. Lineage: Eukaryota; Dinophyceae; Oxyrrhinales; Oxyrrhinaceae.
GGCAUGGCACAGCGGGUAGAGUGCCAGGUUGGUAGCCUGAUGGUCGUAGGUUCGAAC